Molecule: ribosomal RNA, 254 nt
Filed under: uncultured bacterium
Lineage: Bacteria
Description: partial 16S ribosomal RNA
Rfam family: Bacterial small subunit ribosomal RNA
Source: RNAcentral
UACGUAGGUGGCAAGCGUUGUCCGGAACUAUUGGGCGUAAAGCGCGCGCAGGCGGCCUCUUAAGUCUGAUGUGAAAGCCCCCGGCUCAACCGGGGGAGGGCCAUUGGAAACUGGGAGGCUUGAGUAUAGGAGAGAAGAGUGGAAUUCCACGUGUAGCGGUGAAAUGCGUAGAGAUGUGGAGGAACACCAGUGGCGAAGGCGACUCUUUGGCCUAUAACUGACGCUGAGGCGCGGAAGCGUGGGGAGCAAACAGG